UACGUAGGGUGCGAGCGUUAAUCGGAAUUACUGGGCGUAAAGGGCGCGUAGGCGGGCCGUCAAGUCAGGGGUGAAAGCCCCCAGCUCAACUGGGGAAGUGCCUUUGAUACUGACGAUCUCGAGGGAGGUAGGGGCGUGCGGAACUUCCGGUGGAGCGGUGAAAUGCGUAGAUAUCGGAAGGAACGCCGGUGGCGAAAGCGGCGCGCUGGACCUCUUCUGACGCUGAGGCGCGAAAGCCAGGGGAGCAAACGGG
RNAcentral lists this ribosomal RNA (253 nucleotides) under uncultured bacterium. RNAcentral describes it as "partial 16S ribosomal RNA". It matches the Rfam family "Bacterial small subunit ribosomal RNA", at positions 524 to 776 of the family's 1533-position model. The record is from RNAcentral.